RNAcentral lists this ribosomal RNA (251 nucleotides) under uncultured prokaryote. RNAcentral's name for it is "partial 16S rRNA". It matches the Rfam family "Bacterial small subunit ribosomal RNA", at positions 525 to 775 of the family's 1533-position model. The record is from RNAcentral.
ACAGAGGUCCCAAGCGUUGUUCGGAUUUACUGGGCAUAAAGGGUGCGUAGGUUGUCAGGCAAGUCUGACGUGAAAUCUCCAAGCCUAACUUGGAAAAUGCGUUGGAAACUGCUUGGCUAGAGGAAUGGAGGGGAGACUGGAAUACUUGGUGGAGCAGUGAAAUGCGUAGUGAUCAAGUGGAACACCAGUGGCGAAUGCGAGUCCCUGGACAUUUCCUGACGCUGAAGCACGAAAGCCAGGUGAGCAAAAGG